Arachis ipaensis is the source of this 131-nucleotide non-coding RNA. Lineage: Eukaryota; Viridiplantae; Streptophyta; Magnoliopsida; Fabales; Fabaceae. The record is from RefSeq and is a predicted model, not a curated record.
CACAUGAUCUCACCACAGAUUUUCAAAAUUGUUAUAAGAAGAUAUCUAAUAAGAAAAAUGUUUUCAAGCUCAGUGAUUAUCAUUGUCUUAUGAAUCUUUUGAAAACCGACAGAAAAAUAGUUCAAAAGCUU